Sapajus apella (tufted capuchin) is the source of this 3122-nucleotide long non-coding RNA. RefSeq lists it as uncharacterized. The transcript has 2 exons. Lineage: Eukaryota; Metazoa; Chordata; Mammalia; Primates; Cebidae. The record is from RefSeq and is a predicted model, not a curated record.
GAGUGAGCUGAGAUUGUUCCACUGCAUUCCAGCCUGGGCAACAGAGGGAGAUUCCUUCUCCCCAAAAAUAACCUCCUAGGAACAUCCUGAGAAGAGGCUCCAGUAGACCGAGGAGAGUCCUCUGAAAAAGGCUGUAGGUACAGGCCAGAAGGGGAGAAGCCCCAGAAGCUGGAGAACAGGUACGCAGGACAAAACAGUUCUGGGUGACCCUGCCACAGCUCCGACAGCUCCCACUACAACUGAGUCUCCCUAUGGCCAUACCCUAAACCUUGUUAUCACAAGAACUGUCUCUUAAAGAAGCUGUGAUUGCUAUGCUCUGAUUUUUUGUGUCCUUCAAAAUUCACACACUGAAAUCUAACCCCCAAUGUGAUAUGACUAGCAGGUGGAGACUUUGGGGGGUGAUUAGACGGUGAGGGCUGAGCCCUCGUGAACUGGAUUCAUGCCCUUAUGAAUGAGAACCCAGAGAGAUCUCUUGGUCCUUCCACCGAGUGAGGACACAGCAGGAAGACAGCUGUCUGUAAACCAGGCAGCAGAUCCUUAUCAGACACUGAGUCUGCCUUGAUAUCUUGAUCUUCCCAGCCUCCAGAAUCAUGAGAAAUAAAUUUCUGUUGUGCAAAAACUUCUCAUCUAUGGUAUUUCAUUAUAGCAGCCCAGAGGGACAUGAAGACACUGACUUGAGCAUUUUCCCCUUCCAGCUUGCUACCCCCAUUUCUCCCUCAUCAUACCCUGCCUCUCCUUUCUCCUGCCAUCAUCCCCUCCCCGUGUUCGCUUUCUCUUCCCCAUUCAGCUUGGAUCCCACAUUCAACACUGCUCUUUGGCUAACAGACUCAACUUCCUCCCCUUUUGCCUUUUCCUGGAGUUACCUGGAAAUAUCCCUCUAUAUUAUUCCUUCUCUCUGCUCAGAGUCACAGGCUGCUGAACACUGCUAGAGAAACCAGGCAGCCUCACAGAUCACUAUCACACUAAGUCCACCGUUUCCUUCUUCAAACGGUCCUUGAUGCCCCAUGGCAGUCCUGCCUUCUUUCUCUGCUCGGUGACAGCCGUCAUGAUAAAUGUCAUGAAGACAUUCAGGUAUACCUCCCUAUAAACAAACCCGAGAUCGUAUACAGAAAUCCUACAAAAGGAUUUUUCAAAGAAAGCCUUUAAACAGCAGUCUGUGUGCAUCUAACACGGAGUAUCAUAUGUAUAUAUUUUUAAGCCAUUUAUGUAGAGUGAGGUUUGCCCUCACUGUUGCCUUUCCCCAGGUCACUGACAUGGAGGCUCCACACCCCAGCACACCGUGCUUUGCAAGCAGCCUCAGCCAUCUCCAUUUGUCAACGUAGCUGCUGAGUGCUCCUGGUUCAUUUCAAAGUCACCAAAACCUCCUACACAAAACUUACAUGGAAAAAAAAAUUUGGAUGGUUCUUCCUUCACUGCGCCUACUAAGUCAAAAAAAAAUAAACAAGAUCCAUCAAAGGGAGAAAACAGUUUCUACAAAAUACCCUACCAAACAGCUUUGCAUUUAAGCAUCACCCCCUGAGUAAUUUCCUCUGAAGAGGCUCCUCUAAUGCAUAUCAGUGCUGCUGACAUCGGCAACAUUUCUGUGAUUUACUGCAACUGCAUCUAUCAGAGGCUGGGAGUGGGCGCAGGUUAGAGGAAGAGAGAAAUCUAAAACGGAAAAGGAUACCCGCAUUAUUCCUCAUGGGUCUAGUGAGACAGCAAUGUAGAAAACCUACAAAUUCAUUCAUCUGAAGACUAGGAGGUGUUUUUGAAAUAUUCAUAACUCUGAUUAGUGAAGUCUUUGAGGAAUCUACAGACUUACUUAAAAAAUGGGGAAGUCGAUUCUCUUCAAUAAAACAGCUCGGUGUCUUCCAAGUAACACCUAGGUUUGGGGUAUAAAAUGUGGCCGAAUGAAGGCAAGAGUCAAUGCUGCCAGAGAAAUCUUACAGCUGAAUCAACAUUCUGAGGAAUUUUCCAUACCAAAGAGCUACUGAGCAUAGGCUGAACCUGCCAGUUAGACAAACACCUCACUCCACUCCCCAAAAUACUUUUCCUCAUUAGUAAUUUCUCCCACUAGAAGGUAAGUUCCUCCAGAUGCCCCUUGAAGGUGAACCCUUUCAUCUCUGAAUUUUCCAUGGUCCCAAUCCCAGUGUACACAAAGAGCUCAAUUAAUGUUCAUGGCAUGAAUUUGACAAAUGUUUGCUGAGGGCCUAUUGUGCUUGGGGCACCGGGAUGCCAAGGUGAUGAAGAGAAUCCCUGCUGUCCAGGAAUGGAUGAACUGAGUGUGGGCGAGAGCUAACAGUACCUAAACCUCCACCCCUAUGGAAUUCAGAAGAGGCCCAGCACUCAAGGGCUAGAGAAGGCAUUCAAAAGCUCAGAGAGCAAACAGACCCUUGCAUAAAUCAUAUGGAACUCUGCCAAACUGCUAUACUGGUACAGAAGUUGGCUUCAGCAUCAUUUUCAAGGAUUAAUCCCAUCUUCCCCAUAUGAGAAGUGUCCCUUUCCUAGACACUCAGAACCAAACCUAUUACCAAAGCAGAAUCUCCACAUGAUGGGUUAGUCACAAUUAAGCAGUCAUGUAAACAUACUUCCAUUCAAGAAAAUCCCCAGUUAUAAAAUCAUGGGACACUAUUUAAAAAUCUAAGACAAAUUAGAUACUGAAUCCUGGCACAUAGUAGAGUUCCCUAAAUUCAUGUGGAAUGAAAGUACCACAUGCAUGCUUGCCAUGUGAGUGAAUGUUAAGUGUUGGUGCAAGAUCUUUGUAAAUAGCAAAGAUUGAGGGGAAACACAAGAUAAAAACCAUUUUCCUAGAUAGUUCAAACUAACCUUUGGGUUCAAGGAACAGAGUCUUCAUAGAAAAUUCUAGCUGAUAUUUAAUUCAUCAAUACACUUUGGAUUCAACCCAUACUUAAUUACUUGGAAAUUGCCUCUGAAGAGGUCACUGGAAACAGUCUUGUGGUUAUGCUUCCUCCACCUCACAGAAAGGAGAAGAAACUAAGGCUUAAAAACUAGUAUAACCAUCCUGGUGCAAUGGCUCACGCCUUUAAUCCCAGCACUUUGGGAGGCUGAGGUGGGGGGAUCACUUGAAAACAGGAGUUGGAGACCAGUCUGGGCAACAUAGUGAGGCUGUCUCUACCAAAAAU